AGAGUUUGAUCCUGGCUCAGAACGAACGCUGGCGGCGUGCUUAACACAUGCAAGUCGCGUGCGCAGUUUCCGUAGCAAUACGGAGAUGGGCGCACGGCGCACGGGUGCGUAACACGUGGGCAAUCUGCCCUUUGAUGGGGAAUAACCCGCCGAAAGGCGGGCUAAUUCCGCAUAAGAUUCCCGGAACUUCGGUUCUGGGAUUGAAAGCAGCAAUGCGUCGAAGGAGGAGCCCGCGCCCGAUUAGCUAGUUGGUGAGGUAACGGCUCACCAAGGCUAUGAUCGGUAGCUGGUCUGAGAGGAUGAUCAGCCACACUGGAACUGAGACACGGUCCAGACUCCUACGGGAGGCAGCAGUGGGGAAUCUUGCACAAUGGGCGAAAGCCUGAUGCAGCGACGCCGCGUGGGGGAUGAAGCAUUUCGGUGUGUAAACCCCUUUCGACUGGGACGAAUGCCUCGCAAGAGGAGUGACGGUACCAGUAGAAGAAGCCCCGGCUAACUACGUGCCAGCAGCCGCGGUAAGACGUAGGGGGCCAGCGUUGUUCGGAAUUACUGGGUGUAAAGGGUUCGUAGGCGGUGCGGCAAGUUGGGAGUGAAAUCUCUGGGCUCAACCCAGAGGCUGCUUCCAAAACUGCUGUGCUCGAGUGUGAGAGAGGCGCGUGGAAUUGCAGGUGUAGCGGUGAAAUGCGUAGAUAUCUGCAGGAACACCCGUGGCGAAAGCGGCGCGCUGGAUCACUACUGACGCUGAGGAACGAAAGCUAGGGGAGCAAACAGGAUUAGAUACCCUAGUAGUCC
This 792-nucleotide ribosomal RNA is filed under the name uncultured bacterium. Its description in RNAcentral is "bacterial SSU rRNA". It matches the Rfam family "Bacterial small subunit ribosomal RNA", at positions 8 to 796 of the family's 1533-position model. The record is from RNAcentral.